AUCGUUGUCCCACAGCUGAGAUUUCAAUCAGACAAGAUUCUCAUAUGGCAUGGAAACACAGGCAAAGGAAAUAGUCACCAGACAGCAGUCGUGGAGAAUUUUUUAAAGAACUAAGGUGUGGCAAUGUCAGCCUUGCCUUGGGCAAAACCAGCUGGGGAUUACCUUUUCUUCCCCAGCUUCUGGUGCUUUCACCCCGAGUCUCCUCUUCUGAAACAAACAGGUUAGCAUCUGGUCUUCCCUUCUGUGCUGGAGCAGGAAUAGUCGAGUUACAUUUCUGGAGUGACUUCUGUGAAAGGGAAGGCAACCGACUGACGAUGUAGCUGGCAAACACUGCCCAGAGAGGACGUUCACCACAGCCGUGCUGCAGGAGUACUGGAGACCAAAAUAUACCUGGGUCCACCGUGUUGGCUCUGUUCAUCUCUUUAUAGGAUUUUCCUU
RNAcentral lists this long non-coding RNA (438 nucleotides) under Anser brachyrhynchus (Pink-footed goose). RNAcentral describes it as "lncRNA (ENSABRG00000018665.1)". The record is from RNAcentral. Lineage: Eukaryota; Metazoa; Chordata; Aves; Anseriformes; Anatidae.